AUAUAUUUUAUUUAUUAAUUAUAUUAUAUUUUAAUUUAAUUUAUUAAAAAUAAUUAUAUAAAGUAAUGUUUUAUUUUUAUAUCAAGAAAAAAUAAAUUUAAUUAUAGAGUAUUAAGUAUUGUAAAAGAAUAUUGAAAUAAUUGAAAAAUUUAUAUAUAUAAAGAAAAUUUAAUUUAUUGUACCUUGUGUGUCAGGGUUUAUUAAUUAAAAAAUAAAAAUUUAUUUUUCUCGAUUUUAAAAGAGCUAAUAAAUUAUUUUAUUUAAUGUUACAAAAUUAUUAAUAAUAAUUUAUUUGAAAUGAAAUGUUAUUCGUUUUUAAAGAUAUCUAGUUUUUUAAGAAAUAAAUUUAAUUUAAAUUAUUAAAGUUUUAUAAAUUUAUUUGUAUAAUUUUAUAAUUUUAAUAAUUAUUAUUUUAUGGGAUAAGCUAUAAAAUAAAUUUUUAAAAAUUAAUAAAAAUUAAUUUAUAUAAUAUAUGUUUAGAAUUAGCAAUUAUUUAUAAGUUUGUUAUAAAUUUAUAUAGAAUUAUAUAUUAUUUAUUUAAUUUUAAAUAUUUAUUAAAAUAUUUAUUUUAAUAUUAAAAAUAAAUAAAUAAUGAUAAAAUUAGUAUAUUAUUUAUUUACAAAUAAUUAAAUUUGAUAAGUUUUUAUUAAGAAUUCGGCAAAAAUAAUAUAUUCGCCUGUUUAACAAAAACAUGUCCUUUAGAAUUUAAUUUAAGGUUUGACCUGCCCACUGAAUUUUGAAUGGCCGCAGUAUAUUAACUGUGCAAAGGUAGCAUAAUAAUUAGUCUUUUAAUUGAAGGCUUGUAUGAAUGGUUGGACGAAAUAUAAACUGUUUUAUUUAAAUUUACAUUAGAAUUUUAUUUUUUAGUUAAAAAGCUAAAAUUUUUUUAAAAGACGAGAAGACCCUAUAGAUCUUUAUAAUAUAUUUAAUUUUAAUUAUAAAGAUUAAUUAAAUUAUAAUUAUUUAUAUUAUUUUAUUGGGGUGAUAUUAAAAUUUAUUAAACUUUUAAUUUUAAAAAUACAUUAAUUUUUGAAUAUAUGAUCCUUUAUUAAUGAUUAAAAAUUUAAGUUACCUUAGGGAUAACAGCGUAAUUUUUUUAGAGAGUUCUUAUCGAUAAAAAAGAUUGCGACCUCGAUGUUGGAUUAAGAGAUAAUUUUAGGUGUAGAAGCUUAAAUUUUAAGUCUGUUCGACUUUUAAAUUCUUACAUGAUCUGAGUUCAAACCGGCGUAAGCCAGGUUGGUUUCUAUCUUUAAUUAAAAUAAAUAUUUUAGUACGAAAGGACCAAAUAUUUAAAAUAAUUUUUUCUUAUUGAAUAUAAUUAAU
Molecule: ribosomal RNA, 1323 nt
Filed under: Heleodromia immaculata
Lineage: Eukaryota; Metazoa; Arthropoda; Insecta; Diptera; Empididae
Description: 16S ribosomal RNA
Rfam family: Archaeal large subunit ribosomal RNA (bases 1079-1238)
Source: RNAcentral